CUUCCGUAGGGGAACCUGCGGAGGGAUCAUUACACAAUACAAUAUGAAGGCUGUCCGCAGCUGGAGUAUUUUAUUACCCUUGUCUUUUGCGCACUUGUUGUUUCCUGGGCGGGUUCGCUCGCCACCAGGACCACCAAAUAAACCUUUUUUAUGCAGUUGCAAUCAGCGUCAGUACAAACAAUGUAAAUCAUUUACAACUUUCAACAACGGAUCUCUUGGUUCUGGCAUCGAUGAAGAACGCAGCGAAAUGCGAUACGUAGUGUGAAUUGCAGAAUUCAGUGAAUCAUCGAAUCUUUGAACGCACAUUGCGCCCUUUGGUAUUCCAAAGGGCAUGCCUGUUCGAGCGUCAUUUGUACCCUCAAGCUUUGCUUGGUGUUGGGCGUUUUUGUCUUUGGUCGCCCAAAGACUCGCCUUAAAGUGAUUGGCAGCCGGCCUUUCUGGUUUCGCAGCGCAGCACAUUUUUGCGCUUGCCAUCAGCAAGACGGCAAUCCAUCAAGCCUCCUUCUCACGUUUGACCUCGGAUCAGGUAGGGAUACCCGCUGAACUUAAGCAUAUCAAAUAAGGCGGAGGA
Molecule: ribosomal RNA, 571 nt
Filed under: Curvularia papendorfii
Lineage: Eukaryota; Fungi; Ascomycota; Dothideomycetes; Pleosporales; Pleosporaceae
Description: eukaryotic LSU rRNA
Rfam family: 5.8S ribosomal RNA (bases 196-349)
Source: RNAcentral